This 563-nucleotide ribosomal RNA is filed under the name uncultured fungus. RNAcentral describes it as "eukaryotic LSU rRNA". The stretch from base 213 to 366 matches the Rfam family "5.8S ribosomal RNA". Lineage: Eukaryota; Fungi. The record is from RNAcentral.
CCGUAGGUGAACCUGCGGAAGGAUCAUUACCGAUGUUAAUUUGUCUGCCUUCAGUGCUGGCUCUGUAAUAAGAGCAUGUGCACGUUGGUGGGCAUUUAUAUCGAACACCCAUUUGUGCACCCUUGCCUCUGCUGGCUUCGGCUGGCAGAGGAUUUUUUACACCCACACUCAUGUAAUGAAUAAUAAUGUUGUGCUAAGCACUACAAAUGUACAACUUUCAACAACGGAUCUCUUGGCUCUCGCAUCGAUGAAGAACGCAGCGAAAUGCGAUAAGUAAUGUGAAUUGCAGAAUUCAGUGAAUCAUCGAAUCUUUGAACGCACCUUGCACCCUUUGGUAUUCCAAAGGGUAUGCUCGUUUGAGUGUCAUUAUACUCUCACACUCUUUAAUUUAUUAGAGAGCGGUGGAAUUGGGUGUUGCCUGGUACUUGCUGUCAGGCUCAUCUCAAAUGCGUUAGUGCGACUGCUAGUUGGACAUAGUACGGCGUGAUAAAUAAACCCUCGCUGUUUUCUGUCUCAUUAGCGGCUCUGUGCUUCAAACCGUCUUCGGACAAUCUCUGAUAACU